CACGUAGGGUGCGAGCGUUGUCCGGAAUUAUUGGGCGUAAAGAGCUCGUAGGCGGUGUGUCGCGUCGGCCGUGAAAACCUGCAGCUUAACUGUGGGCUUGCGGUCGAUACGGGCAUCACUGGAGUUCGGCAGGGGAGACUGGAAUUCCUGGUGUAGCGGUGAAAUGCGCAGAUAUCAGGAGGAACACCGGUGGCGAAGGCGGGUCUCUGGGCCGAUACUGACGCUGAGGAGCGAAAGCGUGGGGAGGCGAACAGGA
Molecule: ribosomal RNA, 256 nt
Filed under: uncultured bacterium
Lineage: Bacteria
Description: partial 16S ribosomal RNA
Rfam family: Bacterial small subunit ribosomal RNA
Source: RNAcentral